AGUGAACGCUGGCGGUAGGCCUAACACAUGCAAGUCGAACGGCAGCACAGUAAGAGCUUGCUCUUACGGGUGGCGAGUGGCGGACGGGUGAGGAAUACAUCGGAAUCUACUUUUUCGUGGGGGAUCACGUAGGGAAACUUACGCUAAUACCGCAUACGACCUACGGGUGAAAGCAGGGGAUCUUCGGACCUUGCGCGAUUGAAUGAGCCGAUGUCGGAUUAGCUAGUUGGCGGGGUAAAGGCCCACCAAGGCGACGAUCCGUAGCUGGUCUGGGAGGAUGAUCAGCCACACUGGAACUUAGACACGGUCCAGACUCCUACGGGAGGCAGCAGUGGGGAAUAUUGGACAAUGGUCGCAAGCCUGAUCCAGCCAUACCGCGUGGGUGAAGAAGGCCUUCGGGUUGUAAAGCCCUUUUGUUGGGAAAGAAAAGCAGCAGGUUAAUACCCCGCUGUUCUGACGGUACCCAAAGAAUAAGCACCGGCUAACUUCGUG
RNAcentral lists this ribosomal RNA (492 nucleotides) under uncultured bacterium. RNAcentral describes it as "partial 16S ribosomal RNA". It matches the Rfam family "Bacterial small subunit ribosomal RNA", at positions 29 to 507 of the family's 1533-position model. The record is from RNAcentral.